CACAAAAAAAAAUCUCCGGUCCCCCUCUCUCUCUCUCUGACACAAAAAAAAUAAAAAAUUGCAAAGCCCUCGGGCCACAGGCCCGUCGACUCCCCACCCCUCCUUCGCUCGGGCUCCCACCGUCGCUUGGGCUCCACACGGCUGGAGCUCAGUUCACAGCGCCUCGGGCCCUUUCCUCUUCACUGUCCCCCGAGCAACCAGCAAGGCUGGAGUUGCUCUGAGUGAGAUGAUUUUGGCACUGAGCAUCUAGAGAAACGUGCAUAGUAUCUGUUUGGAUAUCCCUGUUGCUGGAUAGCUUCUGCUAGCUGAUUGUCAUUUCUGUUUUGGCAUUGAUCAGACUUGAUUGCUUUCGGGUUUUCACUACUUUUUAGAAAACGGGCGCCGAUCUCAAGCAACCCCCCCCCCCAAACGUCGGUGGGUAGUUAUGCAUUUUUAUCUUGCAGAAAAGAUUGCAUAUUUGAUCUGAAGUGCACGUUCAUCAUUUGCUCGACGUUUAUGGGUUUUACGCUGUCAAAAUCACAAUGCGAUUUCACAAGGUAUUAAUAAGGCUUAUUUGUUUUGAUUCAAAAUUGACUGAAUCAGUCCUUAAUAGUUUGUAAACUUUUUUCAAUCUCUCUUAAGCUAGACGCCAUGAGAAGAAAAUUAAGCAUAAAGGUUUUCCCUUUUCCCUUCUCUUUUGAUUUCCCAGCAUGAAUGUUUUUCUCUGUUUUUACUGUUUUUAGCUCUGUUUAUUGCUUUUGAUUUUAGAUUUGUGGAUUGUUUCGAAACUGAGUUCCUAUUAUUUGCAAUUUCGUUACAUUCAAUGUGCAGAUAUUCUUAAUUCCACCAAUUGAUUUCAUGUAAUUGAAAUUUUGUUACAUUGAAUGUACAGAUAUUCUCAUUUGCUAAUUUACUUAUCAAUCACCAUUUUCCAUUGAUUAA
Non-coding RNA from Malus domestica (apple), 921 nucleotides. The record is from RefSeq and is a predicted model, not a curated record. Lineage: Eukaryota; Viridiplantae; Streptophyta; Magnoliopsida; Rosales; Rosaceae.